RNAcentral lists this transfer RNA (74 nucleotides) under Pseudobacteroides cellulosolvens ATCC 35603 = DSM 2933. RNAcentral's name for it is "Bacteroides cellulosolvens ATCC 35603 tRNA". It matches the Rfam family "tRNA". Rfam says of the family: Transfer RNA (tRNA) molecules are approximately 80 nucleotides in length. Their secondary structure includes four short double-helical elements and three loops (D, anti-codon, and T loops). Further hydrogen bonds mediate the characteristic L-shaped molecular structure. tRNAs have two regions of fundamental functional importance: the anti-codon, which is responsible for specific mRNA codon recognition, and the 3' end, to which the tRNAs corresponding amino acid is attached (by aminoacyl-tRNA synthetases). tRNAs cope with the degeneracy of the genetic code in two manners: having more than one tRNA (with a specific anti-codon) for a particular amino acid; and 'wobble' base-pairing, i.e. permitting non-standard base-pairing at the 3rd anti-codon position. Lineage: Bacteria; Bacillati; Bacillota; Clostridia; Eubacteriales; Oscillospiraceae. The record is from Rfam by way of RNAcentral.
GGGGCAAUAGCUCAAUAUGGGAGAGCACUUGCCUUGCAAACAGGAGGUAGAGGGUUCAAAUCUCUCUGGCUCCA